Gallus gallus (chicken) is the source of this 1891-nucleotide long non-coding RNA. RefSeq lists it as uncharacterized. The record is from RefSeq and is a predicted model, not a curated record. NCBI's taxonomy places the organism in Eukaryota, Metazoa, Chordata, Aves, Galliformes, Phasianidae. The transcript is spliced from 3 exons.
GACCUUUGCUGUGCACAACCCUGCUAGAGGAGCAUGGUUGCUGUAACGCAGCAAUAUAUCUUGAAUUGGCCCCAGGAGCUGAUGGGAGUUUGCAAAUCUAAUGUGAUUACUGCUCGAGGCAUUUCAACAGGAGACCAAAAAUAACCCCCGAGAAGUAGAGCUGAAAGCAGAUUCCUGUUCCCAGGCAAGGAAACACCAAAAUGCUGUUUUACCUCUGCUUAGCCCUGUCCCUUCACGGUUAUCAUUGGGUUCAGCUCUCAGCCUUCUCUAUCCUCUGGUGCCACCUGCAGCCCUACAACCAAGAGCUGGGAAGAUUGGUUUUGAAGACUUCCCCAGAGAUGGAUUUUCCUGCCAUCCUGUAGUCGUUACUUUUUGAAGUCCCUGAGGUGGUUUCCAUCCUGUAGCAAGUCUGGUGAGAAUCAUAGAACUGUUUGUGUUGGAAGGGACCUUUAAAAGUCAUCUAGUCAACCCCCGUGCUAUGAACGGGGUCAUUGAUUAGGUGAUCAGAGCCCAAUCCAGCCUGAAAAUCCCCAUGGUACCCUAUUUUCACGUGUAGCACCAAAAAAAACCUUUAGAAAAUUGACCCUUAGAUUUCAAAAGAGUAUGUGCAGGAAGGCUGGGAGGCUGAAGAGAAGCUCCUCAGCUCAUUCCAAUGGGUGCUGCUUGCCUAAAAUCAGUCUCGACUCUUUGUGCCUCAGUUUCCCCAGGUGCAGGAUAAGGAUGAUAAAACCUGCAUGGAGGGAUGCUGCAAAUGCUCAUGUGGUCCCAGCAGGUCCCUGCUUAAAGCUUGGUGUUUGCUCUUGGGUUUGAGGUACUUGCUGAUGGAGUCACUUAAACAGCUUCUAAGUUUUGGUCCACAUCCACUCAAUGAAACCCUGGCCAGAACCCAGCCAUGUGCUAGAAGCUCCGACACCAAAUAUUUCUGCAAAACAAGCCAGAAGCAAAGUCAGGGAAGGAGAAAGUGCAGACAAACUCCCACAGAGCAGCUGAGGAUCAACGCCAUGAUAUCUGUGCCAAAGACAUUGGAGGGACAUAUCUGGAAGAGCAACAGCAGGAACAUCUGCAGUGCUACGCACCCCAUCUGGGUCACUCACCUGUCCCCACAGCCCAUCUGCAGGGCAUGCAAAUCUUCCUCCACUUCUAAUUGCAAUUUGCAAACUCCUUUCGAAGUGUGCUGUUAGCUUCUAGAUGCUAGAUGCCGUUAGAUGUGCUGUUGCACACCUCCCACCCAUGCUGGACACCAACACUGGAAUACCACAGCAGAUGAUAUUCUCCAUUAAGAUACAAAAGAAAGAAGUCCAGAUAUGAGCUGAACUAAUGCAUUAUGUCACAGUCUGUUCUCUUCUCCUUUACUUUACUUUUUUUCCCCUUUCUUUUUUCCUUUCUCUGCUGGCUUUGCUUUCUGAUCCAGAGAAUAAAUAAGAUGGACUGGACUUUGUUACUUGGAAGGCCACCAAUUUCCAAACACAUGCCAAAUACCAGCUCUUCAUAACCUCACCAUAUGCUGCAGAGCUAAUUUUGACAGUUAUCAAAAAAGCUUAAACCCAGAAGAGCAGGAAGAGAUGCCCCACAUUCCUGUAGCUCAUGUAGCCAAACCUGGCACCCCAUCCUUUGGGACCCAUGAGGUCAUCCAAGUAGUGAAGUACACAUCUGUAAUACAGCUGCACAGCUCAAAGCACAGCCAACAUUCCCCUUGUUGAUUGCAAGCCAGCUCUGAAGAAGAGACCAUAAAACUGGUAGGGAAUAUUAACUCUGAGAUCCUCGAAUCCUGCAGGUGUAGUGGCUCUUACUCUGUGCAGGUUUGGGCACCACAAGAUAAGGAUAUAAAACUAUUAGAGAGCCUCCAAUGGAGGGCUACAAAGAUGGAGAAGGGUCUGGAGGGCAAGAGGUG